This 107-nucleotide small nuclear RNA is filed under the name Echinops telfairi (small Madagascar hedgehog). Lineage: Eukaryota; Metazoa; Chordata; Mammalia; Afrosoricida; Tenrecidae. The record is from RNAcentral.
GUGCUCGCUUCGGCAGCACAUAGACUAAAAUUGGAACGACACAGAGAACAUUAGCAUGGCCCCUGCGCAAGGAUGACGCGCAAAUUCGGGAAAGCGUUCCAUCUUAA